AACACAUGCAAGUCGAGCGGAUGAAGGGAGCUUGCUCCUGGAUUCAGCGGCGGACGGGUGAGUAAUGCCUAGGAAUCUGCCUGGUAGUGGGGGAUAACGUUCCGAAAGGAACGCUAAUACCGCGUACGUCCUACGGGAGAAAGCAGGGGACCUUCGGGCCUUGCGCUAUCAGAUGAGCCUAGGUCGGAUUAGCUAGUUGGUGAGGUAAUGGCUCACCAAGGCGACGAUCCGUAACUGGUCUGAGAGGAUGAUCAGUCACACUGGAACUGAGACACGGUCCAGACUCCUACGGGAGGCAGCAGUGGGGAAUAUUGGACAAUGGGCGAAAGCCUGAUCCAGCCAUGCCGCGUGUGUGAAGAAGGUCUUCGGAUUGUAAAGCACUUUAAGUUGGGAGGAAGGGCUGUAGGCUAAUAUCCUGCAGUUUUGACGUUACCAACAGAAUAAGCACCGGCUAACUUCGUGCCAGCAGCCGCGGUAAUACGAAGGGUGCAAGCGUUAAUCGGAAUUACUGGGCGUAAAGCCCGCGUAGGUGGUUCGUUAAGUUGGAUGUGAAAGCCCCGGGCUCAACCUGGGAACUGCAUCCAAAACUGGCGAGCUAGAGUACGGUAGAGGG
Molecule: ribosomal RNA, 613 nt
Filed under: Pseudomonas sp. O9
Lineage: Bacteria; Pseudomonadati; Pseudomonadota; Gammaproteobacteria; Pseudomonadales; Pseudomonadaceae
Description: bacterial SSU rRNA
Rfam family: Bacterial small subunit ribosomal RNA
Source: RNAcentral